AACGAACGCUGGCGGCAGGCCUAACACAUGCAAGUCGAGCGAGACCUUCGGGUCUAGCGGCGGACGGGUGAGUAACGCGUGGGAACGUGCCCUUUGCUACGGAAUAGCCCCGGGAAACUGGGAGUAAUACCGUAUGUGCCCUUCGGGGGAAAGAUUUAUCGGCAAAGGAUCGGCCCGCGUUGGAUUAGGUAGUUGGUGGGGUAAUGGCCUACCAAGCCGACGAUCCAUAGCUGGUUUGAGAGGAUGAUCAGCCACACUGGGACUGAGACACGGCCCAGACUCCUAUGGGAGGCAGCAGUGGGGAAUCUUAGACAAUGGGGGAAACCCUGAUCUAGCCAUGCCGCGUGAGCGAUGAAGGCCUUAGGGUUGUAAAGCUCUUUCAGGUGGGAAGAUAAUGACGGUACCACCAGAAGAAGCCCCGGCAAACUCCGUGCCAGCCGCCGCAGUAA
RNAcentral lists this ribosomal RNA (449 nucleotides) under uncultured bacterium. RNAcentral's name for it is "partial 16S ribosomal RNA". It matches the Rfam family "Bacterial small subunit ribosomal RNA", at positions 29 to 523 of the family's 1533-position model. The record is from RNAcentral.